AUUGAACGCUGGCGGCAGGCCUAACACAUGCAAGUCGAACGGGUGGCGGACGGGUGAGUAAUGUCUGGGAAACUGCCCGAUGGAGGGGGAUAACUACUGGAAACGGUAGCUACUACCGCAUACCAUCGGAUGUGCCCAGAGGGGAUGAGCUAGUAGGUGGGGUAACGGCUCACCUAGGCGACGCUCCCUAGCUGGUCUGAGAGGAUGACCAGCCACACUGGAACUGAGACACGGUCCAGACUCCUACGGGAGGCAGCAGUGGGGAAUAUUGCACAAUGGGCGAAAGCCGGAUGCAGCCAUGCCGCGUGUAUGAAGAAGGCCUUCGGGUUGUAAAGUACUUUCAGCGGGGAGGCGUUACUCGCAGAAUAAGCACCGGCUAACUCCGUGCCAGCAGCCGCGGUAAUAC
RNAcentral lists this ribosomal RNA (406 nucleotides) under uncultured bacterium. Its description in RNAcentral is "partial 16S ribosomal RNA". It matches the Rfam family "Bacterial small subunit ribosomal RNA", at positions 30 to 526 of the family's 1533-position model. The record is from RNAcentral.